RNAcentral lists this ribosomal RNA (449 nucleotides) under uncultured bacterium. RNAcentral describes it as "bacterial SSU rRNA". It matches the Rfam family "Bacterial small subunit ribosomal RNA", at positions 328 to 793 of the family's 1533-position model. The record is from RNAcentral.
CGCCCAGACUCCUACGGGAGGCAGCAGUGGGGAAUAUUGCACAAUGGGGGAAACCCUGAUGCAGCGACGCCGCGUGAGCGAUGAAGUAUUUCGGUAUGUAAAACUCUAUCAGCAGGGAAGAAGAUGACGGUACCUGACUAAGAAGCCCUGGCUAACUACGUGCCAGCAGCCGCGGCAAUACGUAGGGGGCAAGCGUUAUCCGGAUUUACUGGGUGUAAAGGGAGCGUAGACGGCGAUGCAAGCCAGAUGUGAAAGCCCGGGGCUCAACCCCGGGACUGCAUUUGGAACUGUGUGGCUGGAGUGUCGGAGAGGCAGGCGGAAUUCCUAGUGUAGCGGGGAAAUGCGUAGAUAUUAGGAGGAACACCAGUGGCGAAGGCGGCCUGCUGGACGGUGUACUGACGCUGAGGCUCGAAAGCGUGGGGAGCAAACAGGAUUAGAUACCCUGGUAC